GAAAGUAAAUAAGGGCGCAUGGCGGAUGCCUUGGCUCUCGGAGGCGAUGAAGGACGUGAUAAGCUGCGAUAAGCUUUGGGGAGGUGCAAAUGACCUUUGAUCCAGAGAUUUCCGAAUGGGACAACCCAAUAUCUUGAAGAGGUAUUAUCCAACUUUGUUGGAGGCUAACGCAGGGAACUGAAACAUCUUAGUACCUGCAGGAAAAGAAAAUAAAUAAUGAUUCCCCUAGUAGUGGCGAGCGAACGGGGAUUAGCCCAAACCACCCAUGUUACGGCAUGUGUGGGGUUGUAGGACCACGCUCUCGCAAGACAGUUAUUGAGAAGAAACGACUGGAAAGUCGUGCCAUAGACGGUGAUAGCCCGGUAUUCUAAGGUAACCGAAGCGUAGUGGUAUCCUGAGUAGCGCGGAGCACGAGGAAUUCUGCGUGAACCAGCCGGGACCAUCCGGUAAGGCUAAAUACUCCCGAGAGACCGAUAGCGAACCAGUACUGUGAAGGAAAGGUGAAAAGCACUUCGAAUAGAAGAGUGAAAUAGUCCCUGAAACCAUGCGCCUACAAGCGGUCGGAGCAGCUUAAGUUGUGACGGCGUGCCUUUUGCAUAAUGAACCUACGAGUUACUUUUUCCGGCAAGGUUAAGCAUCUUGAGAUGUGGAUCCGAAGCGAAAGCGAGUCUGAACAGGGCGGAUAGUCGGAAGGAGUAGACGCGAAACCAAGUGAUCUACCCUUGGGCAGGUUGAAGGUUAGGUAACACUAACUGGAGGACCGAACCGAUAAGCGUUGAAAAGCUUCCGGAUGACCUGAGGGUGGGGGUGAAAGGCUAAUCAAACUUGGAGAUAGCUCGUACUCCCCGAAAUGCAUUUAGGUGCAGCCUUGCGGGUUACUGAUGUGAGGUAGAGCGACUGAUAAGAUGCGAGGGCUUCACCGCCUAUCAAGUCUUGAUAAACUCCGAAUGCGCAUUAGUUCUAUCUCAGGAGUGAGGGCAUGGGUGCUAAGGUCCAUGUCCUAAAGGAGAAGAAUCCAGACCAUCAGCUAAGGUCCCCAAAUAAACACUAAGUUGAACUAACGAAGUCAGAUUGCUAAGACAGCUAGGAUGUUGGCUUGGAAGCAGCCAUUCAUUUAAAGAGUGCGUAACAGCUCACUAGUCGAGGAGUUUGGCGUGGAUAAUAAUCGGGCAUUAAGUGUUUUACCGAAGCUAUGGGAUACGUAAGUAUCGGUAGGGGAGCAUUCCACUCAGCGUUGAAGGCGAAGCGUGAGCUUUACUGGAGCGUGUGGAAAAGCAAAUGUAGGUAUAAGUAACGAUAAAGGGGGUGAGAAACCCCCUCGCCGCAAGACUAAGGUUUCCUGAUCAACGCUAAUCGGAUCAGGGUUAGUCGGGUCCUAAGGCUCAGCCGAACGGUGAGGCCGAUGGCAGAACAGGUUAAUAUUCCUGUACUACCUAUAAGAGUGAUGUGGAGACGGAGGAGUGACAACGCCGCGGACUGACGGAAUAGUCCGUUAAAGGGUGUAGAUGUUGAUUAUCCCAGGCAAAUCCGGGAUAAGAGUCGAACCUGAUAGUAUACCAAUUUCCUCGGAAAACGGUAAUAGUGCGUGUAAACAUACUCCCAAGAAAAUCCGCUAAACUUAAUCUUAUAGGUACCCGUACCGUAAACGGACACACGUAGUCGGGUUGAAUAUACUCAGGCGCUUGAGUGAAUCACGGUUAAGGAACUAGGCAAAUUGACCCUGUAACUUCGGGAUAAAGGGUCCCUACCCGGUGACGGGAGGGCGCAGAGAAUAGGUCCAGGCAACUGUUUAACAAAAACACAGGGCUGUGCAAAAUUGAAAGAUCACGUAUACAGCCUGACACCUGCCCGGUGCUGGAAGGUUAAGAGGAGAUGUCAUCGCAAGAGAAGCAUUGAAUUGAAGCCCCAGUAAACGGCGGCCGUAACUAUAACGGUCCUAAGGUAGCGAAAUUCCUUGUCGGGUAAGUUCCGACCUGCACGAAUGGUGUAAUGAUCUGGACGCUGUCUCAACCGUGAGCUCAGUGAAAUUGUAGUAUCGGUGAAGAUGCCGAUUACCCGCGAUGGGACGAAAAGACCCCGUGAACCUUUACUAUAGCUUAACAUUGAAUUUGGGUAAUUGAUGUGUAGGAUAGGCCGGAGACUUUGAAGCAGGCACGCCAGUGUUUGUGGAGUCGCUGUUGAAAUACGGCCCUUUGGUUAUUUGAGUUCUAACUCGCUGAUGCGAGGACACUGUUUGGUGGGUAGUUUGACUGGGGUGGUCGCCUCCAAAAGCGUAACGGAGGCUUCUA
RNAcentral lists this ribosomal RNA (2288 nucleotides) under human gut metagenome. RNAcentral describes it as "bacterial LSU rRNA". It matches the Rfam family "Bacterial large subunit ribosomal RNA", at positions 1 to 2312 of the family's 2925-position model. The record is from RNAcentral.